Molecule: ribosomal RNA, 444 nt
Filed under: uncultured bacterium
Lineage: Bacteria
Description: bacterial SSU rRNA
Rfam family: Bacterial small subunit ribosomal RNA
Source: RNAcentral
GUAGGGAAUAUUGGUCAAUGGAUGCAAGUCUGAACCAGCCAUGCCGCGUGCAGGAUGAAGGCCUUCUGGGUCGUAAACUGCUUUUGCCGGGGAAUAAAUAGCCCAUGCGUGGGAAGUUGAAGGUACCCGGUGAAUAAGCCACGGCUAACUACGUGCCAGCAGCCGCGGUAAUACGUAGGUGGCAAGCGUUGUCCGGAUUUAUUGGGUUUAAAGGGUGCGUAGGCGGUCCUGUAAGUCUGUAGUGAAAUAUCCCGGCUCAACCGGGAGGGUGCUAUGGAUACUGCAGGACUUGAGUAAAGUUGAGGCAGGCGGAAUUGACGGUGUAGCGGUGAAAUGCAUAGAUAUCGUCAAGAACACCUAUAGCGAAGGCAGCUUGCUAAGCUUUAACUGACGCUGAUGCACGAAAGUGUGGGGAUCAAACAGGAUUAGAAACCCCGGUAGUCC